RNAcentral lists this ribosomal RNA (439 nucleotides) under uncultured bacterium. Its description in RNAcentral is "partial 16S ribosomal RNA". It matches the Rfam family "Bacterial small subunit ribosomal RNA", at positions 339 to 795 of the family's 1533-position model. The record is from RNAcentral.
CUACGGGGGGCUGCAGUGAGGAAUAUUGCACAAUGGGGGGAACCCUGAUGCAGCAACGCCGCGUGGAGGAUGACGCAUUUCGGUGUGUAAACUCCUUUUAUAUGUCAAGAAAAUGACGGUAGCAUAUGAAUAAGCACCGGCUAACUCCGUGCCAGCAGCCGCGGUAAUACGGAGGGUGCAAGCGUUACUCGGAAUCACUGGGCGUAAAGGACGCGUAGGCGGGUUGGAAAGUCAGGUGUGAAAUCCUACAGCUUAACUGUAGAACUGCAUUUGAAACUUCUAAUCUAGAGUAUGGGAGGGGGAGAUGGAAUUAGUGGUGUAGGAGUAAAAUCCGUAGAUAUCACUAGGAAUACCUAAAGCGAAGGCGAUCUCCUGGAACAUUACUGACGCUAAGGCGUGAAAGCGUGGGGAGCAAACAGGAUUAGAUACCCCGGUAGUC